Molecule: ribosomal RNA, 253 nt
Filed under: uncultured bacterium
Lineage: Bacteria
Description: partial 16S ribosomal RNA
Rfam family: Bacterial small subunit ribosomal RNA
Source: RNAcentral
UACGUAGGUGGCAAGCGUUGUCCGGAUUUACUGGGUGUAAAGGGCGUGCAGCCGGGAGUGCAAGUCAGAUGUGAAAUCCCGCGGUUCAACCGCGGAACUGCAUUUGAAACUGUGCUUCUUGAGUGCUGGAGAGGCAGACGGAAUUCCUAGUGUAGCGGUGAAAUGCGUAGAUAUUAGGAGGAACACCAGUGGCGAAGGCGGUCUGCUGGACAGUAACUGACGGUGAGGCGCGAAAGCGUGGGGAGCAAACAGG